GGAUGUAAAAGUCGUAACAAAGUCUCCGUUGGUGAACCAGCGGAGGGAUCAUUACCGAGUUUACAACUCCCAAACCCCUGUGAACAUACCUAUCGUUGCCUCGGCGGUGCCCGCUCCGGCGGCCCGCCAGAGGACCCCCAAACUCUUGUUUUAUACAGUAUCUUCUGAGUAACACGAUUAAAUAAAUCAAAACUUUCAACAACGGAUCUCUUGGUUCUG
RNAcentral lists this unclassified non-coding RNA (219 nucleotides) under plant metagenome. RNAcentral's name for it is "partial contains small subunit ribosomal RNA, internal transcribed spacer 1, and 5.8S ribosomal RNA". The stretch from base 1 to 54 matches the Rfam family "Eukaryotic small subunit ribosomal RNA", at positions 1778 to 1831 of the family's 1831-position model. The record is from RNAcentral.